UACGUAGGGGGCAAGCGUUGUCCGGAAUCAUUGGGCGUAAAGAGCGUGUAGGCGGCCCGAUAAGUCCGCCGUGAAAGUCCAGGGCUCAACCCUGGGAUGCCGGUGGAAACUGUCGGGCUAGAGUCCGGAAGAGGCGAGUGGAAUUCCUGGUGUAGCGGUGAAAUGCGCAGAUAUCAGGAGGAACACCAAUGGCGAAGGCAGCUCGCUGGGACGGUACUGACACUGAGACGCGAAAGCGUGGGGAGCAAACAGG
This 253-nucleotide ribosomal RNA is filed under the name uncultured bacterium. Its description in RNAcentral is "partial 16S ribosomal RNA". It matches the Rfam family "Bacterial small subunit ribosomal RNA", at positions 524 to 776 of the family's 1533-position model. The record is from RNAcentral.